Molecule: non-coding RNA, 115 nt
Organism: Triticum aestivum (bread wheat)
Lineage: Eukaryota; Viridiplantae; Streptophyta; Magnoliopsida; Poales; Poaceae
Source: Rfam
CUGGUACUCCCUCCGUUCGGAAUUACUUGUCGUAGAAAUGGAUGUAUCUAGACAUUUUUUAAUUCUAGAUACAUCCACUUCCACGACAAGUAAUUUGGAAUGGAGGGAGUAGCUU